CCUACGGGUGGCAGCAGUGAGGAAUAUUGGUCAAUGGACGAGAGUCUGAACCAGCCAAGUAGCGUGAAGGAUGACUGCCCUAUGGGUGGUAAACUGCUUUUAUAGGGGAAUAAAAUGUGCCACGUGUGGGAUUUUGUAUGUACCAUAUGAAUAAGGAUCGGCUAACUCCGUGCCAGCAGCCGCGGUAAUACGGAGGAUCCGAGCGUUAUCCGGAUUUAUUGGGGUUAAAGGGAGCGUAGGGGGCUUGUUAAGUCAGUUGUGAAAGUUUGCGGCGCAACCGUAAAAUUGCAGUUGAAACUGGCAGUCUUGCGUACAGUAGAGGUGGGCGGAAUUCGUGGUGUAGCGGUGAAAUGCUUAGCUAUCACGCAGAACUCCGAUUGCGAAGGCAGCUCACUGGACUGCAACUGACACUGAGGCUCGAAAGUGUGGGUAUCAAACAGGAUUAGCUACCCCUGUAGUC
RNAcentral lists this ribosomal RNA (460 nucleotides) under uncultured bacterium. Its description in RNAcentral is "partial 16S ribosomal RNA". It matches the Rfam family "Bacterial small subunit ribosomal RNA", at positions 338 to 795 of the family's 1533-position model. The record is from RNAcentral.